AAGCUCGUAGUUGAAUUUCGGGGUUAGUAGGUUGGUCAUGCCUCCGGUAUGUACUGGUCUCACUGAUUCCUCCUUCCUGAUGAACCGUAAUGCCAUUAAUUUGGUGUUGCGGGGAGUUUGGACUGUUACUUUGAAAAAAUUAGAGUGUUUAAAGCAAGCUAACGCUUGAAUACAUUAGCAUGGAAUAAUGAAAUAGGACGUUCGAUCCUAUUUUGUUGGUUUCUAGGAUUGACGUAAUGAUUAAUAGGGAUAGUUGGG
Molecule: ribosomal RNA, 258 nt
Filed under: uncultured Glomus
Lineage: Eukaryota; Fungi; Glomeromycota; Glomeromycetes; Glomerales; Glomeraceae
Description: partial 18S ribosomal RNA
Rfam family: Eukaryotic small subunit ribosomal RNA
Source: RNAcentral